Molecule: long non-coding RNA, 3070 nt
Organism: Carassius auratus (goldfish)
Lineage: Eukaryota; Metazoa; Chordata; Actinopteri; Cypriniformes; Cyprinidae
Exons: 2
Source: RefSeq, a predicted model, not a curated record
GGACCAGAGCAUAUUACAGUGUCUGACAUCGUGCUUGCAAGUUCACACACCUCUUUAAAGUUAUUUUUAGUGAUCUCCGACUGGCGAAGUCGGAUGAGUGAACAUAAGUUGAAUAAAUAUGUUCUAGGUAAUGUAUUUGUGUGGUAACAACGUAUGUUGGGUACACAAAACAUGGAUUUGUUUAAAUAAGAGGCAUUAUUAAUAUCAGGAUUUGUAUAUUUUCACAGUUAAAUAGCAACUUACAUAAAUGUAAGCCUUUAAAGUAGCUACAUAAAAUGCCUUUGAAAUAAAAGCAGCAAUCAGAGGCAUGUAUUUAUUUAUUUAGUCUGUUUUAAAAGACAACGUAAUUUAAUGUAAUGUGGUACAGUUCUUUUGUAGCAGUGUGGAAAUGUUUUUUAUUUAUGUGUUUGUAACUGUUAAUAUAAAAGAUAGGAAAUAAUAAAAUAUAAAAAAAAAAUAUAUGCAUUAAAAAUAUAUUUACCAAUAGGCUAUUAUCCAAAAACAGAAAAAUCACCAAGAGUUUGUUCGAUUUUAACUGCCACAAUAUAAAGUGAAAUGUGCAGUGGUUAACUGACGUGAAAUUCAAGACACGACUCAGCUGUAUAAUAGCAUGUUCCUAAGUCAUUUGAAAGCCCAUUGUUUUGAUGGCGAAAAACCAUUGUUAAAUCAGUCAUGAAGAGUAAAUGGAUUUGAAAAUGUGUGUAACAAUCUUUUUUAAAGUUUUACUAAAUUAAGUAUGGAUCUUAUUCAUUAAAGUGGAUUAUAUUUCUUUGUAUGCUUUAGGUGUAAAUAUCAGCUAUUAAUGCUAGAGAAGCCCAAAUGAUCGGUUAAUGUAAAUGUAAUUGCUGUCAUUAAGACUAUUAAGUGGUGGCGUUCUUCCUUAAGCACUUUUAUUUUUAUGUAUAGAGACAAAGGAAGUUUUUUUUUUUUUUUUUAAAGAAACAUUGUAAUAAUUGUUCAAUUAGUAAGGUUUAAAUAUGCUCACAAUAAGUGUCCCUUUAUGAAUAUAUAUAUCAGCCAAUAUGUGAAAUAUGACAAUGUUAAAAGACUUUAAAGUGUAUGGAAAUAACAAUGACACAAUAUGGCUGUACUUUAUAACUAAAAGAGCAAUAUUUAGAAAACGAAUAUGUGAAAAUUCAUUAUGUGAUUAGUAGGCUAAUAAUGAGUCAAUAGUUUUGCCUGUGAGUUUUGCAUUAUAGAACUUAUCUUAAUAAAGAUCUUAUUAUGGGUAUUUUUUGUGAAGAUUAAUUUGUAAUUGGAUGGUAGAAGUGUAAAAUAGUAUUAAUUACUUUAAUUUAAGAUUUUGAACUCAAAUAUUUAUGGUUUAAGUACAGGCAAAAUUGACUAUAAUUGUUGAAUGUUUUAUAUAUCUAUUUAUCUAUAUUGUAUUAUAUUUGUGUUUUAGUAUUUGUUGGUGUGUAUUAAAAAAAUAUUAUAGGACAAAAGUGCUUUCAAUAUAAGGUUAUAUAAGAAUAUGUUGUGUGUAUGAUUUAAUCAGUUAAAGUCAGUGACAGAAGUGUCUGUUGUUUUAUUUAUAGAAAUGUACAAGGUGCUGUAUAUUCAUUAUUAUCCUAAAAGUAAAAAAAUAAUAAAAAUAGGCUAUUUCUAAUUAUUUUUGUGGAACGUGGUCAAAUUUUUUUUCAAUGAUUUAUUUAAACUGUAUAUUUAUUUAUUAAAAUGAUAUACAAUAGUUAUUAAAUACAUAUUUAGUGAUCUAUAAAGAGUUGUGUUAGUAUUAUUUAAAUAAAAAAAAUCAGAGGUAGCUAUAUUUUUUAUAGAUUGGUGAGAGCUAUGGAAAUAAAUAAAUGGACUUUAAGCACUGAAACAUGCGAUUUUGUAGCUAUAAUGUAAAUAUGUUGAAUUUUGUGGUAAAAUCCUAUAUCUUGUUUAGUAAUGUGUUGUAUUGACAAGUCAAGUUAGUAGAUAUUUAUAAUAUUAUAGUGGCAUGAUUGGAUGUUUUUAAAUAAAGAUUUACAAAAACUAUGAUAGUGAAAGUGAAAGUCGUGACAUUUGCCUAGUUUGGUAGCCCAUACUAGGAAUUGGUCUGCAUUUAACUUAUCCAAGUACACACACACACACACAGUAGUGAGAAGGGAAGACACCAUGAACACAUACACAGAGCAGUGGGCAGCUAUAGAUCCUGCGCCCUGGGAGCAACUGAGGGGUUCAGCAGAACAGGUUAUUUUGCCAGGUGAGGGGGCGUGUUUCGGAGGGUAAGUGACGUCAAUGUAACCCUUUAUUUAAAGUGCUGAGUAUGACGGUUCUGGCACUCAGUUGGACUGUUUGUUGAAGUCUGUGUAAAAUGGAGAAAAGUGGUGAGAAGUAAUUUUUUUUUUAGAGUGGAACAAUGUUUUUAUUGUAUUUGUACCGACUGUAUUAAUCUUUAUUAUUGUAGUUGUUAAUCUUUAUAUUGUAUUUAUUUUGUUGGCACAGAAAGCAACAUGGUUGUUUCCAGGUUUGGGAAGAAAGACUUCGUUGUACCUAAAGGUCUGAAUGUUUGCUUCUUGACGGAUUCCAUGUGCCGUGGUUUGGACCAAUACUGUGAGGGCGCAUAUUGUUGGGUUCAUCCGGGCACUACUUUGGUCCGUUCAGCACAACAGCACGUUUAUCAUCUGAGAAGAGUAAACGGGGAUGCCUUGUUAAUCAUUUACAUUGGGACAAAUGAUGUCGCUAGUGGGGUUUCAGCGGAAACCGUCGUUAACCGAAUGGCAUUGCUUGUGGAACGCCUUCGUCACUCUUUUAAGUACAAACUGUAUUUCGCUAUUUGUUCUGUUUUGCCUCGUUAUGUUGAUGACAAGCAAACUAAACAUACAGUGAAGCGAUGCAAUAUAUUGUUGGAAAGAUGGUCUAGUGAGAUGGACAAUGUUGUUUUUUUGCGAACAUGGAGAGCCUUUGUGUCUGGAGGAUGUAUAUGUUCUGAAAUGUUCCGUCCAGAUGGACUUCACUUGAAUGUGAAAGGGAAAGAUCGUCUUUUUCAGUAUUUCAAACAUUUUUUGUGGAACUUUUGUAAUUAUAUUCUUUGCUUUCCAAGCUUGCAGCAAUAAAACUCUAUGGAAAUAAGCUUUUAAAA